RNAcentral lists this long non-coding RNA (2663 nucleotides) under Orbicella faveolata. RNAcentral describes it as "uncharacterized LOC110060440". The record is from RNAcentral. Lineage: Eukaryota; Metazoa; Cnidaria; Anthozoa; Scleractinia; Merulinidae.
AUUGUUAUGUUUCUAUUUUUGGCUGAUCAGAUCUUUAAUUUACAGAUCCUACGUAUCCCAGCAGCAUUUUCGUUUACGGUCCCUUGCAUCAUUUUUAUGAAUGUUUGGAAGUUUCAUCUUCGGCAACAAUCGUAUGGAUACGAUCUGCACCAACCCUACCCGACCGGUGGAUCCGAGCUACUAGUUUGAAGGUUACGUUGCAAGGAAGGGAGUUAAAUCUGAACUGCAGAGAGAUUUCCUCUCUCUGUAUCCUUGCUCUCUCCGUUCUUUUUCUGAACAAGCAAAGAAUCAACUCAAUGAUAGAGAUCGAAGCCGCGGAAAUAAAAAAACAAAACAGUCGACAAAACUGUUUUUGUAUCUUUUCCAAGAGAUAGCGAGAAUCGAAACUGCGAAUACUUUUAAUGCUCUUGUUUUUUGGAAAUAAACUCCAUUAAACGCCUGGUCUCCAAGGUACAUUUGUAAAUAAGACCCUCAAUCAAGGAAUAUAUUUUAAUUCCAUCUAAGUUUAAGAUGUUUUAGGCGUAAUAUUUAGAUAUUUAACUCUCAAAGAUAAUGAAUAAAUACUCUGAUAAACUCCGGGCUCGAAUAAACUGCGAAAGUCAAAAAUAAACGCCGGAUCCACGACACCAGGUUUGAAAUAAAUACCAGGGGCGUUUAAUCGAGAAAACACGGUAUAACCUUAUUUUGCUGAUAUCAGCUGAUAUUUAUGGCGCGCUAAAUUAGGGUAUAUUUUUAUAUUGGCACCUCCCACUUUCCUGAUGUCAUGUCCUUUUUAUAUUCCUAAUUUUAUGCAUUUACGCACUUUCCUGUCUUGUAUUUAUUCUGUAUGGCUUAAGAAGUACCCUCCACUUUAUUCAUCCUUAUCAUGAUGAACAAAAUAUUUUAAGAUAGGAUCUAUUUGUUUUGACGCAGGUUGGCCGUAAUAAAUAGACUGCUCUCGAGAACAACAACAAGCAAAUAUGCCGAGUAUCGUACAAAAUUUUGCCCAAGAACGACUCGAUGUUUAAUUUUAUACGUCUACGAUAUUUUCACUUUUUGGUUUCUCUCUUUAUGAAUUCACUUGCUAGUUUCAGCUCUUGUUUGGGCGUGUAAGGCAAAUAUUCGAACAAAACAAGUAAGAAUAAUUAAGUAGAAACAGACCGAAGGUUUAAUAAUCUUUUAGCGGCACGUGCGCGAUACCCGAGUUUUGUAACAUGACUUCAAAACGGCUUAGCAGACUUGACAUCACAGAAAAUUACUGGCACGUGCAGUAGGCCUAACGCUCACUUUAACAGAGAGCUUCAGUCACGUGGUCCGUGUUUUCUCUGACCUCUGAAACACGUCGAAGUUUUGAUUGUCGUAAGAGUUGGACGAGGACAAGUCAUCAGGUCUAAUGCCACAACAAAAUAUACGAUGCUAGAUUAGAGUUUAGCCUUAAGCGACCAACAAAUGAUAAGUUACACGACAAGCUAUCGAGCGAAGUAAAUGUUUGAAAAUACACACCGUGGAAAACAAAUAAAAUUCCAGCUACUCUUAACUCGACCGCCCCCUUAAAGUGCUGUCCGAGCAAUAUCAAACGUUUGAAGUGGAUCAAAGUGGCUCUAAAAUAGAUUGCUUUGUUUUCGUGAUUAUUACCACAACAUGCGUGGGAAAGAUUUUUGUUGGUAAUAGCGCUGUUGAUCUCCCGUCAACAAAACAACCACCACACUUGUCAACCGCCAUUCUGUUGCCAGCUUUGACAACGAUGAUGGGGGUAAUUGUGGUUUAUGUCGGCUUACUUUUCGGGCCGUUGGAGGAAGUAUAUUUAAAUAUAACAUGGCGAUAAGUUAAGCUGCCGCUUAAUGAAUCAAACAGAUGAUUGCGUUUGUGUAAUUUCGUGAGUCGAUCUUGACCCUGGGGUGGGGGCGUGCGUUCGCUUCCAAGAUCAGACCGAUGUUAAAGGCAUUGUGAAGACGAAGGGCUUUUUGUUGAUGGUCUUAUCGAUGAUGAAAGAGGGCAAAAACCAUACCCUAUUUGAGACCCAAAUGACCAAAAUCGAUAUCCUGAUUAUAACCAAAAAGGCUAAAACCCAUACUCUUUGGGCCCGCACAUACCUAUAUAGCCCAUAUAAGGGAGUACCUCCCCGCCCCACCCCAGGACCCGGAAAUCUUGGCACACUUGGCACAAGAAAACAAUUUUUUUACUACCUCUAAUCACUCAUGAUCGCUGCCGGUAAAUACUUCGGCCACUUCAGGUAUUGUACCGGUUUAUGAGGGGUUGCAAACGAACAAAACAUAUUUUUGGAGGGAAACCAGGAGAGGCAAAGGAUUUGCAAGGUUCCAGAAGAAAAUAUUGUAAUAGCUCUUGCAAUCGGAAGAAGUUAUAUACGAAUCCUUUGGUUUACGCUUCAGUCGAAACUCUUUUACCGUGGAUAAAAUCGGGCUUGAAAUUUGUUAAUCGUCGGCUUUGGAACAAACAGAAGGAAGAACAAAAGAAGAACGAUCAACAUUUGGUUUUUUUAAUAGUCAGUAUAACCAGUGUUGGCCAAUAAAUAUCUACAAUAUAAAAUCUUAAUGUAAUUUGAAGCCAUGACAAACACUUACAUUUCAGUGUCUUAACAAAACUGACUACCUUUGACUUGCAUAAACUAAUUUUCUUUUUACAUACCACGAUCAAUAUGAUUGAGAUGAAUGACAUGUGCUAUA